ACAAGGAUUAUUUCCGAUGUCAUGAAUAAACAUGAACUUCCUAGAUAUAUGAAAAGUAAAAUAAAUGAGUGUAUAAUGCUCCUAUUCAACAUUAUAAUGUUUUUUGGUGUGAGAGGUGAAAAGGGACCAUGUGAAAGUUUCUAUAAUGGAUGCUGUCCAUACACACAAUGGAGCUCGAAAGAGGACAAAUGUGUCGAUUGUCCGUCUGGCUAUUAUUGGAUAAGCUGCAGUAAAACAUGCCCCUAUCCAAGAUUUGGAGUAAAAUGCUCUCUAACAUGUGACUGUGAGGAACAAUGGUGCGACUUCAUGAAUGGGUGCUUAAAUGAUUCUCUAUCAUUUCAACAUGACAAAUCUGAUCUCCCCUCUAAACCGGAUAUCACAACAAAAGAAAUCACACGGUCAUGUAAGCAUUUUAUCUUAUCACUUUUCUGUUAAACAACACCUUAGCUCCUUUACCUUUAGUUAUUUCUACGAACUUAAUGAACCAAUAUUGACUAGAGUUAGCUUGUAAAAACUGUAGAAUAAAAGUUUAAUUAAUGAGUUAUGGUUAUCUAAGUCACUAAGGUUACAUGUACAAUUUAUUCGUCCGCCGUCUUCUGAAAUGAAACAAUUUAACUUCUCAUUUAACACUUCUUAGAAAAGUCAUUUUCCCCCGAAAUUUGCAUGGUGUAUAUUCUAUGGAGUAAAUCAUGGUACUACUUCAUGAUUUUUUUAACACGUGGCCAACAAGAAAAACGCCUAACAUCCGAAAUGUUGACACAAUUUCAAAAUUCAUCUAUACAUGUACCUUGGCAUAUAUUAAAGAGAAGAUGAAUGAAAUUUUAUGUAACGACAAACUUGUUUACCCCUGUCUAGUACUUUAUUUCUUUUUUUUUAAAUAUUCUGAAACUUAGAGAAAUUUGAAUGCAAAUUUGUAAAGAAAAUGCCCCGCAUGAAAAAAAUCUUCAAAAUAACAGUGCAUCAGGUUAAAUAUCUUCAUACACCCUAAAUCUAAAUUUAUAGCUGCUUAACUUUACAUACAUUACAAUGCAAAAGUUUUUACGUAAUGCAUAUUAAUUCAGUAAUACGCAUUAUUUACCUUCUACAUUUAUCUUCGAUUACCACCAUGUUGUUGUUACAUGUACAUGUACGCUCUUUGCUGCACAGCCACUAAAAGGCAGGAGCACUAUGCAUGCUUCAUUGCAUUCAAAUAUUUUACUCACUCGAAUACGUCACAUUGAACGAGGUAAGGACUGGUAAGGAAUACACAUUGAAACCGAAACAAAAUAAACUGAAAGCCAAGCACGCUUAUUUAAAAACAAUAUUGAUAAAUGUAAAAGGUUUCCAUGUGUCGUGCUGUCGUGUAAUCGCACAUGCGCAACCAUACACUUUAGCAGAGCGUGCACAAACAGCAUCGACCUUAGA
This is a long non-coding RNA of Magallana angulata, 1404 nucleotides long. RefSeq lists it as uncharacterized. The record is from RefSeq and is a predicted model, not a curated record. The transcript is spliced from 4 exons. Lineage: Eukaryota; Metazoa; Mollusca; Bivalvia; Ostreida; Ostreidae.